AUGAACUUGUACUUAGCGACUUAUUUUUCUUGAAUUACGUAGCAACAACCUGCACGCCAGAGGCGCCAGAAGCGCGCAUCACAUGCCGCAACCGAAGCGAACGAGGCCGACCGCGCAUGUCAAGCUCGCCUGUUCGAAAACGGCCCUUCUUUUCUUUUCCUCUUUUCUUUUUUUGUAGUAGCCUGGGUUUGUUGGGCUCCCGACGUAUUCUUGCGUUCAUUCUGCACUUCGACACGGCACCACUGCAGUAUUGGACUACGGCAAGCUCACGCCGUCCGGUGGAGCUUCGUAGGGGAGCGGCGGCUGCUUAUCGAAUGCCACAACGUUGGAUGAAUGCACAAAAAUCCCCGAACGUGCAUUUAUGUAGAGGAAAAUAAACAUUUCUUAAUUUGACAA
Dermacentor andersoni is the source of this 396-nucleotide long non-coding RNA. RefSeq lists it as uncharacterized. Lineage: Eukaryota; Metazoa; Arthropoda; Arachnida; Ixodida; Ixodidae. The record is from RefSeq and is a predicted model, not a curated record.